Long non-coding RNA from Formica exsecta, 949 nucleotides. RefSeq lists it as uncharacterized. The record is from RefSeq and is a predicted model, not a curated record. Lineage: Eukaryota; Metazoa; Arthropoda; Insecta; Hymenoptera; Formicidae. The transcript is spliced from 6 exons.
AUUGGGAACGGUGGAACUGGGAAGUGGCAGAGUCUCAGAAUUGGCAUCUCUGGUGGCAGAGUCUCAGAAUUGGCAUCUCUGCUGGGAACUGCGAAGUGAAGACCAUACGUACAUGUGCGUAGUGCGUACAUGAUCCUGCAACUAUUAGUUUUCCAUUGGGAAAAACUCGCAGCACUGAGUGCUUGAAGCGUAUAUCAUUGCAUUUAGUGCUGCGAGUUUUUCCCAAUGGAAGACGCUAUAAGUUUCAAACCGAAAAUUCCAUCGAAGAGAAAUAAUACAAAAUCAAAAGUGCGACUAGAAUUGCAAUGGUUAGGUGCUACAUAUGCUGGAAAGAACAUUCUGUUUUAUUAUCACGGCAAUUUCACAGUUUUCCAUCAGAUGCAGAAAGGCGAGAAAAUGGUUUAAUACCAUUGGUUAUACUGUUGACUACUUACAAAAAUGCAAGAAUUUGCAGUGAAUUGCUAGAACCGUGGAAUGCAGGAUCGACUCAAUCGAGAUUUUUCAUGAAUAUGGAUGACGGUCCAAAAACGAUAAAAAUGCAAACUCUUUACGGACGUCGCAACGAAACGGCAAGUUUAAGACUAACAUUAGAUCCAGAGUGCAGUUAUGCGAUUAAUAUUCAACCCAGUGGAAUCAUCGAUAAGAUUUCUUGUAGAAUAUGGGAUCGUUGGCCGUUGCUUUAUCUAGCGAUUAUCAGUUUACUUUUACUGUUCGUUUCAAUAAGGAUACAUAGUUCAGACAUGAUACCAACUGUAAUUGUUACAAUAGUAUUGUCUUUUUUUCAACGUUACUUAUGAAGCUUGCAUUGCUUUAUGUAUCAUCAGCAUAUCUGCCAUUGCUGUAUGCUGCUGUGUCAUAUUUCUUGGUUCCAUUGCACAUGGAAUAACUGUCAACAUGUGCAAUAACUUUCUCAACAACGUGGUCAGAUUGGUUACUGAAUGGUCUAAAC